This 72-nucleotide transfer RNA is filed under the name Ovis aries (sheep). It matches the Rfam family "tRNA". Rfam says of the family: Transfer RNA (tRNA) molecules are approximately 80 nucleotides in length. Their secondary structure includes four short double-helical elements and three loops (D, anti-codon, and T loops). Further hydrogen bonds mediate the characteristic L-shaped molecular structure. tRNAs have two regions of fundamental functional importance: the anti-codon, which is responsible for specific mRNA codon recognition, and the 3' end, to which the tRNAs corresponding amino acid is attached (by aminoacyl-tRNA synthetases). tRNAs cope with the degeneracy of the genetic code in two manners: having more than one tRNA (with a specific anti-codon) for a particular amino acid; and 'wobble' base-pairing, i.e. permitting non-standard base-pairing at the 3rd anti-codon position. Lineage: Eukaryota; Metazoa; Chordata; Mammalia; Artiodactyla; Bovidae. The record is from Rfam by way of RNAcentral.
UCCCUGGUGGCUCAGACAAUAAAGAAUCUGCCUGUAACGCAGGAGACUUGGGUUCAAUCCCUGAAUAGGGAA